CAAGGUGAGCGAUACGGAGGUAGAGCUCUGAAUGUCCUAGGGGGUAUUGCACCUUCCGAAGACUAUCAAACUCCGAAUGCCGUCAUCUUAUACUUGGGAGUCAGACUGUGGGUGAUUAGAUUCAUAGUCGAAAGAGCAACAGCCCAGAUCGUCAGCUAAGGUCCCUAAAUGUAAGUUAAGUGGUAAAGGAUGUGGGAUUGCACAGACAACCUGGAUGUUGGCUUAGAAGCAGCCUCUUUUUCAAAGAGAGCGUAAUAGCUCACUGGCCGAGUGAUUCUGCGCCGAAGAUCUCUGGGGCUAAAACUUACUACCUAUAUUUCGGUAUCCGUAAUUAUGGGUAGGGGGGCUUCCCCUUCGGGUUUAAGUAUGUUCGUAAGGAGCAGUGGAUAGCAUGGGAGUG
Molecule: ribosomal RNA, 400 nt
Filed under: Clostridioides difficile
Lineage: Bacteria; Bacillati; Bacillota; Clostridia; Peptostreptococcales; Peptostreptococcaceae
Description: partial 23S ribosomal RNA
Rfam family: Bacterial large subunit ribosomal RNA
Source: RNAcentral